RNAcentral lists this ribosomal RNA (369 nucleotides) under uncultured bacterium. RNAcentral's name for it is "bacterial SSU rRNA". It matches the Rfam family "Bacterial small subunit ribosomal RNA", at positions 525 to 896 of the family's 1533-position model. The record is from RNAcentral.
ACGGAGGGUGCAAGCGUUAUCCGGAUUCACUGGGUUUAAAGGGUGCGUAGGUGGGCAUGUAAGUCAGAGGUGAAAUCCCCGAGCUUAACUUGGGAACUGCCUUUGAUACUAUGUGUCUUGAAUAUCGUGGAGGUAAGCGGAAUAUGUCAUGUAGCGGUGAAAUGCAUAGAGAUGACAUAGAACACCAAUUGCGAAGGCAGCUUGCUACACGAUGAUUGACACUGAGGCACGAAAGCGUGGGGAGCAAACAGGAUUAGAUACCCUGGUAGUCCACGCCCUAAACUAUGGAUACUCGACAUCAGCGAUACACAGUUGGUGUCUGAGCGAAAGCAUUAAGUAUCCCACCUGGGAAGUACGAUCGCAAGAUUG